Molecule: non-coding RNA, 112 nt
Organism: Acanthosepion pharaonis
Lineage: Eukaryota; Metazoa; Mollusca; Cephalopoda; Sepiida; Sepiidae
Source: the annotation of a GenBank genome assembly
ACGACCAUAUAGCGUUGAAACACCGGGUCCCGUACGAUCACCGAAGUUAAGCAACGUCAAGCCUGGUCAGUACCUACAUUGGUGACCGCUUAGGAAUACCAGGUGUUGUAAG